RNAcentral lists this ribosomal RNA (1290 nucleotides) under Salmonella enterica. Its description in RNAcentral is "partial 23S ribosomal RNA". It matches the Rfam family "Bacterial large subunit ribosomal RNA", at positions 711 to 1897 of the family's 2925-position model. Lineage: Bacteria; Pseudomonadati; Pseudomonadota; Gammaproteobacteria; Enterobacterales; Enterobacteriaceae. The record is from RNAcentral.
AGACCCGAAACCCGGUGAUCUAGCCAUGGGCAGGUUGAAGGUUGGGUAACACUAACUGGAGGACCGAACCGACUAAUGUUGAAAAAUUAGCGGAUGACCUGUGGCUGGGGGUGAAAGGCCAAUCAAACCGGGAGAUAGCUGGUUCUCCCCGAAAGCUAUUUAGGUAGCGCCUCGUGAAUUCAUCUCCGGGGGUAGAGCACUGUUUCGGCUAGGGGGCCAUCCCGGCUUACCAACCCGAUGCAAACUGCGAAUACCGGAGAAUGUUAUCACGGGAGACACACGGCGGGUGCUAACGUCCGUCGUGAAGAGGGAAACAACCCAGACCGCCAGCUAAGGUCCCAAAGUCAUGGUUAAGUGGGAAACGAUGUGGGAAGGCCCAGACAGCCAGGAUGUUGGCUUAGAAGCAGCCAUCAUUUAAAGAAAGCGUAAUAGCUCACUGGUCGAGUCGGCCUGCGCGGAAGAUGUAACGGGGCUAAACCAUGCACCGAAGCUGCGGCAGCGAACGUAUCACCCAAGACAACUUUACGGAGUUGACGAUUGACGGAGCGAAGCGACGUCAAAGCGUUCAUUAAAGUCGAGUUGGCUUAGGGAUACGUUCGUUGGGUAGGGGAGCGUUCUGUAAGCCUGUGAAGGUGUGUCGUGAGGCAUGCUGGAGGUAUCAGAAGUGCGAAUGCUGACAUAAGUAACGAUAAAGCGGGUGAAAAGCCCGCUCGCCGGAAGACCAAGGGUUCCUGUCCAACGUUAAUCGGGGCAGGGUGAGUCGACCCCUAAGGCGAGGCCGAAAGGCGUAGUCGAUGGGAAACGGGUUAAUAUUCCCGUACUUGGUGUUACUGCGAAGGGGGGACGGAGAAGGCUAUGUUGGCCGGGCGACGGUUGUCCCGGUUUAAGCGUGUAGGUGUGUGUUCCAGGUAAAUCCGGUUCACUUUAACACUGAGGCGUGACGACGAGGCACUACGGUGCUGAAGCAACAAAUGCCCUGCUUCCAGGAAAAGCCUCUAAGCAUCAGGUAACACGAAAUCGUACCCCAAACCGACACAGGUGGUCAGGUAGAGAAUACCAAGGCGCUUGAGAGAACUCGGGUGAAGGAACUAGGCAAAAUGGUGCCGUAACUUCGGGAGAAGGCACGCUGACACGUAGGUGAAGUGAUUUACUCAUGGAGCUGAAGUCAGUCGAAGAUACCAGCUGGCUGCAACUGUUUAUUAAAAACACAGCACUGUGCAAACACGAAAGUGGACGUAUACGGUGUGACGCCUGCCCGGUGCCGGAAGGUUAAUUGAUGGGGUCAGCGUA